AGAGUUUGAUCCUGGCUCAGGAUGAACGCUGGCGGUGUGCCUGAGAUAUGCAAGUCGAGCGAAGUUUUUCUGAACCCGCAAGAGGUUGGAAAACUAGCGGCGGACGGCUUAGUAACACGUAGGAAUCUGCCCUUUUCUGGGGAAUACCUCACCGAAAGGUGGGAGCUUUAAUACCCCAUAAUAUCUUCGGAUUAAAGAAGCAAUUCGGAAAAGGAUGAGCCUGCGUCCUAUCAGGUAGUUGGUGGGGUAAUGGCCUACCAAGCCAAUGACGGGUAGCUGGCCUCAUGAGGAUGACCAGCAAGAGGGGGACUGAGACACGGCCCCCACUCCUACGGGGAGGCAGCAAUCAGGAAUAGUCGGCAAUGGGCGAAAGCCUGACCGCGCGUCUCCGCGUGAAGGAAGAAGGUCUAAAGUAUGUAAACUACUGUGGUAGGGGAAGAAGAUCCGCAAGGAUUUGACGGUACCCUACUAGAAAGGAGCCGCUAACUGCGUGCCAGAAGCG
Molecule: ribosomal RNA, 502 nt
Filed under: uncultured bacterium
Lineage: Bacteria
Description: bacterial SSU rRNA
Rfam family: Bacterial small subunit ribosomal RNA
Source: RNAcentral